Molecule: microRNA precursor, 91 nt
Filed under: Podarcis lilfordi (Lilford's wall lizard)
Lineage: Eukaryota; Metazoa; Chordata; Lepidosauria; Squamata; Lacertidae
Source: RNAcentral
UAGACGUGUGUGUGUGUGUGUGUGUGUGUGUGUGUGUAAGUGAGUACGCGCGCACACACACACACACACACAUACACACACCAUUUCUAUU